Non-coding RNA from Gymnothorax javanicus (giant moray), 72 nucleotides. Lineage: Eukaryota; Metazoa; Chordata; Actinopteri; Anguilliformes; Muraenidae. The record is from the annotation of a GenBank genome assembly.
GGCGCAGUGGCCCAGCGGCAAGGCGUCGGUCUCCUAAACCGAAGAUCAUGGGUUUGACCCCCAUCUGUGCCU